AUCUUUUAUUGGUUGACGUAAGACUGCCAUUGAAAAUGAUAAGACAACAUUUACACUCAGAAAACUUACGAAGCACUUUAUGCAGAACGCUAAACGAGGGAGCGGCGACAGAUCGAUCUGACACGAGCGGUUCCCGGCGUUCAUCCUCGUGUCGCUUGUCAGUGUUGUUGGAUUGCUGACGAACGAUGGGAGCGGCGCUUUGAUCCUUGUGAAAUGCCCCGGCAAUGGAAGUGGUGUUGCCGAAGAAACCAGUCCAAAGGAUCAGUAAAAGUAUCACCAAAAUGAAAAUGACCGAAGCAGUGAUCGUUGCGAGACGAUACGAGAUGGUUGACACAGAUCAGGGAAAUCAGAGAAUUCAGGGAAAAGACAGGAAAAAUGAAAUUGGUCAAGGAAAUCAGGGAAAUAUCAGGAAAUUCUAUCAAAAAUUCUGGAAGAAUAUCAAAUUUCUAGAAUGACUACAAUAUAUUAUUCUGAUUCGGAGGAGAAAUUGAUUUAUUUCGAUCAGAUGCGGGGAAAAAAUCUUGUCUCAGAUAUGAAAUAUGGUAAAUGUGGUAAUUAAGCGAAGGAUAAGGAUCUAUCAUUCAUCUUAUGUAACAUUAACCUGAGAAAGCAGAGGUGCCGAUAGAGAGUGAAUGUUCACUUCCCUUUUUUUUUACAUAAACGACUCAGAAAUAGAAUGUCUAACUGGAUUGAACUCGGGAUUUGACCUCUUCUUCUUAAGUAAAAUAAAUCGGGAGACGUCGUGAUGUCUCCCCUCCUUAAAAGGCGGGUUAAAUUAUUAUGUGCUUGAAUGCUGACCGGAAUUUGAAGAGCUAGAGACAAAAAAGAGCACAAGAGCAGUUUACAUAGUAACCCAAUCAGGAAGAAUUGCUGAAUGAGUCAGAGACAAAUUGUCUACCAUUUCUGUUAGUCUUCAACUGCUAUAUACUUUCUCGCACUUCGAUUUCCUUUGUCAAUUAUCUUCUUAAACCUCCAGUUGUUCCGAGGUCAAAAGCUAAACUCAAAAGGUCACCAUAUGCAGUGCAAGAAGACGAGGCGAACUUUUAAAAAACAAACCAAGUUGAUAAAAGAAUUGGAGUGUUCGAUGAAAGCUCAAAACCAGACUUUGAGAGAGAACAAGAGUCAAAUCAGACAUUUAAAAAAAAUGAGAAGACGAAUCGAGUAGUGAGAUUGGAGUAGAUUAUCAUGUAGUAUACAAGUACGUGUAUAAAUAACACAAUAUCUAGAGAUAAAAGGAGAAUUCUGCAGGCGUUCGCGUUCAGAAAUGGAAAAGAAAUUGUACGAUUGGCGCCAAACGUUUCUGGGACCCGGAGGUCAUCGAAUUGGAAAAGUGGAUGAUGCCUUCAGGAUACUAUAUCUUUUCAAAACUGUCAAAAAAAAAGAGAAGAAGAAGAAGAGGAAAAAAUAUCGCACGAUUAUCAUAUACUGAUUCAUGAAUAAAAGCUUGAGGAACGACAGGACUUUCAAGAUCAAUUAUACGGCUGUUACACCAUAACCGGCUAUGCAGAUGCAUCCUCCAUGUUGCAGGGAUGCUCUGUAUGAUGCUCUUUACUCGUUGUGGCAUGCAUGUCAGUUCUUGGAAGCACUUCGGGUCAAGAUAUUUAAAUAUUUACGAGGCGUCAAAAAUUUUGUGGUCCACUCCACGAGAGCUCUUUUACUUGAAUUGAAAACCUGAUAAAAUCAAAGCCGCACAAAAAAACAGACACGAUUUCUUCACUUCGAUUUUUUUCGUAAUCGGAAAAAUUGAUUGAUGGAUGCAUUUUAUCAAAUAUAAAGGUGAAGAAACAAGUGGUACUUUUGAAACAAGGAAGGGAACAAUAUCUCAUUGUCGCCUAGUUCACAUUUAUUUAAAUUUGACAUACGCAUCUGUAAGUUUGCUGAAUAGUGUUUCAUAAUCCGGAAGAUAUUUGCGUAUACUUAGAGAGAAGAAAGAAGAGAAAGAGAGACGAAGAAGAAAAAUGAAAAGGAGGAUAGAAAAAAGAAUAAAAGAAGCCCACACACUAUCAGUUUUGUCUUAUGCAAAUAAUGUAAAUUGUGUACGAACAAAAAAAAAUAUUGAGGAGGGAGGAUACGAUCUUUGCGUACGAAAAGAGAUAUGGCACUACUGGCAUUGACGACCCACGUUUUUCUUAUUCAGUCUCAAUAUAUGAAGUGACACGUUGACAACUCUUUUAAUUUAAAGCUGAUUAGACCACGAAAUUUUUCUGGAUUUUUUCUUGGAGCGAGGGAGGAAGAAAGAAUGAAUGAAAUUUGAUGAAAAAAGUACGAUAAAGAAGUUGUUACCUUCUGCCUCAGAGUGGGUGAGUGGAGAACGUAAAUUACAAAAGCUGCACCUUCACAAUCUUGGCGAACGUACUCGGAAGAAUCGAAGGAAGACGUGCGAGAAUACAAGGAUGCAAAAGAGGGUUGAGGAGGAGAAUCUACCAGUUCGCAAGGAAAGAAAACUUAAAUAUUUCAAUAAAUUACUUAAAAUUUAUAAUUUCAAUCUAAAUUUCAAAAAAGGUGGAAAUUCUUUUUUCAAAAUUUAAAAGGAGCAGAAUUUUACAAAAAUCGACUCAGAAAUUUGAGAAAAAGAAAUUCAAAAUACUUGAGAAAAAGUAUUAAAAAAAUCUGGAAGUCAAAGGAGAAUUAAAAAAUUGAAAAUUUAAGAAAGAGGAAUGACAGGAAAAAUUACAACACUUUUUUGGAGAACCAAAAAAAAAAACUUGGAGAACAAGGGGGUUGAAAUGAAGAAUCUCGAUGAUGUUGAUUUUCUUUCGCGCACUUUUUAAUUUUUCACACUCGGCGUUGUUCUUCUUCCUUGUAUGUUUCUUAAACUACAAUGGGGUUGGAGAUUCUUCCUUCUCAGUGGACAUGGAAGAAGAAACUAAUGAAGAAAGGCACGAGCGGAGGUACAAGCCGGACGAACGAAUGAACGAAUAAGUGAACGAACGAAGGAGCGGACAGCGAUCUCGCCUUCGCGACACGUUUUCCCCCACUCAGGAUUCUCCUCUAUACACCAACCAUGCACGCAACCUCUCCAAGUCAGGGCCGUUCCAAUGCGAUUUUGAUUGUCGUUGUUUCAAUUUAUUGAAAACUAGUAUAGAUUUUAUUCAAUUGCAAUGGGAAAAAAGGAAAAGAGAAGGAGUUUGUCUUUGAAUAGAGGGUAGAAACUGUGUGGCGAGGAAUUAAAUUCCCGCGUUGAUGCGAGGAAUCAGGAGGAUCGCGAGGUGGAGAAAAAAUGUGCCAGUGAAAGGAAAAUUGAAGAAAUGCGAGAGAUGUGAAGAAAUUCAAGGGUAACGAGACAAGAAAAGAAUUUGAGGAACUGGAGGAAGAAAAAUGAGUGCAAAAAAGGGUGUUUUUUUCUCUAUUCUUGUAAUUUUCUUUCUCCUUUCUGCUAAAUAAUUAUUGGGAAUUGAAGAAAAGUGCAAGAAAAUAGAAACGAAGAAAACAGAGGAUGAAAUUGAAAAAAAUGCAAAUAAACGAGAAAAAAUUAUUUUAAUCCGGAUUUAGUCGGUUUAUCGCAUUUUGCAAAUUAACUAUAUUUUGACAGAAAAAUAUUGACUAUAUUUAUACAGAAAGUUUAUUCAGAAAAAGAAUAUAAUCAGAGAAAUAUAUGAGCUUGAAAAGAAUCAAGAAAAUUGUCCCAAAAGCAAAUAACCAGAAAUGAUUCUCUAAUAGAAAAGAAAUGUGAAACUAGAGUAAAGUGUGAAGAUAAAAAAAAGGACCAAGGACUAAAAACCAGUUCGUAAACAAAAGAAAUGAAUCUGGGAGGAAUAUUCUUGGAAGAAGUGGAUAAGUUUCAUAUAUAUGUUAUUUAAAUCAGUAAAGAUGAAAAUGAAUAAGAAAGAGGGUUCAUGCGCCUGUUCCUGAGAAGAUGAGUUAAAUUUCUCGAGAGAGUGAAGAGAGGGAAUGAGAGAAUCAGAGAACUAAGGAGAACUUAUGAAUGAAACGGAAUAUCCUGAACGUCAUAGGGUUUUAAAAUUGCUGCCGUUAAUGUCAGUGUCCCGAAAAUUCGCAGUGGUAGCAGAUCUUCUCCCAGUUAUUCCAGUCAUUAACCUUUCUUACUUACACACAUAAAUCUGUAUGGAAGAAACGAACUUUACGGGACUUUAAUAAUGGGGGAUGAGUCAAGACUGUAAAAAUACAGACAGAGGAAGUGGAAUUUUUCUUUCGAGAACGAUUUUCAAAUGUUUCGGAGAGCAGAGAUCAGAGCAAACAAAUUUUUUCUAAAAAGGUAUUUUAAAAAUUAAAAAUUAAAUAUUGCAAAGGGAAAAAAUAUGAAAAAACUGAAAUUGAAAAGUAUUGCAAUCGGACAAUUAGAAAAAAAAGAAGACGAAUUCGACAGAAAUUUUGGUUUAAAGGUAAUAAUUUCUUCUUGCGGUAAAUUUUUUCCGAAAACUGAAAAUAAUGCAUUUUCAGUUAUAUUUUAUGCAUUUAAAAAAAAAAUUAAAAAAAAGAACUGUAUAAUUUCGUUCCACCAGGAAAUAACCGAGAGGGAAUUCGGUUCAAGAAAAUUAGUAGACGUGAGUUACAUUUACCAUCAAAUUUGACGAAAGUCCAAAAUUUAUAUUAUUUCAAAAAGAAAGAUGAAUUUAUAUAAUUCGAAUAAUUAUUUAAAAAUUAAUAAAUUAUUUCUAUUAUUAAUUCAAUUUAUUCAAUUAUUAACGGGACAAUUCAAGAAAAUUAGUAGACCGUGAGUUAAAUUUACAAACUUUG
Molecule: long non-coding RNA, 4698 nt
Organism: Leptopilina heterotoma
Lineage: Eukaryota; Metazoa; Arthropoda; Insecta; Hymenoptera; Figitidae
Exons: 11
Source: RefSeq, a predicted model, not a curated record